RNAcentral lists this ribosomal RNA (699 nucleotides) under uncultured Bacteroidota bacterium. RNAcentral describes it as "bacterial SSU rRNA". It matches the Rfam family "Bacterial small subunit ribosomal RNA", at positions 91 to 811 of the family's 1533-position model. The record is from RNAcentral. Lineage: Bacteria; Pseudomonadati; Bacteroidota.
CUUAGUGGCGAACGGGUGAGUAACGCGUGGGAAUCUACCUAGAAGUGGGGAAUAACUGUUGGAAACGACAGCUAAUACCGCAUAAUCCCUUUGGGGCAAAGGCUUCGGCCGCUUUUAGAUGAGCCCGCGUUAGAUUAGGUUGUUGGUGAGGUAACGGCUCACCAAACCUACAAUCUAUAUCUGGUCUGAGAGGAUGAUCAGCCACACUGGAAUUGAGAUACGGUCCAGACUCCUACGGGAGGCAGCAGUAAGGAAUAUUGGACAAUGGGCGCAAGCCUGACCCAGCCAUGCCGCGUGCAGGAUGACGACCCUAUGGGUUGUAAACUGCUUUUAUAUAGGAAGAAAAUACUCUUGCGAGAGGAUCUGACGGUACUAUAUGAAUAAGGACCGGCUAACUCCGUGCCAGCAGCCGCGGUAAUACGGAGGGUUCAAGCGUUUUCCGGAUUUAUUGGGUUUAAAGAGUGCGUACGUGGCUUAUUAAGUCAGUGGUGAAAUCCUGCAGCUCAACUGUAGAACUGCCUUUGAUACUGGAAAACUGAGUAAUUGUGAAGUGGUCAGAAUGUGUGGUGUCGCGGUGAACUGCAUAGAUCUCACACAGAAUACCGAUAGGGAACGAGAACCAUCACAAUAUACUAGACACUCAUGACGAAAACGUGAGUGAGAACAGGAUAGAUACCUGAUAGCCCACCCGAAACGAUG